AAAAUUUAAAACUCAAAGAACUUGGCGGUGUUUUAGACCACUCAGGGGAACCUGUCUCAUAAUCGAUAAUCCACGUUGUACCUGACCUUUUUUUGUAUUCAGUUUGUAUACCGUUGUCGUCAGGUAACUUUUUAGAAAUUAGAAGUUAGCAGCAGAAAUAAAAAUAAUUUAAUACGUCAAAUCAAGGUGCAGCUAAUGAAAAGGGGAGGAUGGGUUACAAUUAUAUAAUUUAUAAUAACGGAUAGGUAUAUGGAGUAUGUAUUAAUUAUAAGGCGGACUUGAAAGUAAAUUAGGUUAUAUAAAUAACUUGAAUGAGGCUCUGAAACGUGU
RNAcentral lists this ribosomal RNA (330 nucleotides) under Terebra sp. MNHN IM 2007-30496. RNAcentral's name for it is "partial 12S ribosomal RNA". Lineage: Eukaryota; Metazoa; Mollusca; Gastropoda; Neogastropoda; Terebridae. The record is from RNAcentral.